GAUCAUACGCGAGGACUUACUGGGCUAGAAUGCAGGGAAUUUCAAAAUGGAUAAUCUAGCAUAGCCCAAAAAAGGUGCUGCUGGGUGUCGUCAGCUCGUGCCGUGAGGGGUUGGGUUAAAUCCCGCAACCAGAGCAACCCCCAUCUUUUUUUUUAGCAGGUAAUGGUGGGGACUCUAUAAAGACUGCCUGCGCGAGCAGAGAGGAGGGAGGGGAGGACAUCUCGUCAUCUGGCCCUUUUGCCCGGGGCUAUCACGUGCUACUAUGGGGGUUACAAAGUGUUGCAAGCUGGUAACAGCAAGCCAAUCACUAAAAAACGGUCUCAGUUCGGAUUGAGGUCUGCAACUCGACCUCAUGAAGCUGGAAUCGCUAGUAAUCGCGCAUCAUCAAUGGCGCGGUGAAUACAUUCCCGG
Molecule: ribosomal RNA, 411 nt
Filed under: uncultured bacterium
Lineage: Bacteria
Description: partial 16S ribosomal RNA
Rfam family: Bacterial small subunit ribosomal RNA
Source: RNAcentral